CCUACGGGUGGCAGCAGUGAGGAAUAUUGGUCAAUGGCCGGAAGGCUGAACCAGCCAUGCCGCGUGAAGGUCAGUGCCCUAUGGGCGUUAAACUUCUUUUGUGCGGGAGCAAUAAUGGUCACGUGUGGCCAGACGAGAGUACCGUACGAAUAAGCAUCGGCUAACUCCGUGCCAGCAGCCGCGGUAAUACGGGGGAUGCAAGCGUUAUCCGGAUUUAUUGGGUUUAAAGGGUGCGUAGGCUGUGAGGUAAGUCAGCGGUGAAAUGCCCCCGCUCAACGGGGUGAAGUGCCAUUGAUACUGCCUGGCUGGAGUGCGGAUGAGGUGGGAGGAAUGUGUGGUGUAGCGGUGAAAUGCAUAGAUAUCAGACAGAACACCGAUUGCGAAGGCAUCUCACGGAUCCGCGAUUGACGCUGAUGCACGAAAGCGUGGGUAUCAAACAGGAUUAGAUACCCCAGUAGUC
Molecule: ribosomal RNA, 460 nt
Filed under: uncultured bacterium
Lineage: Bacteria
Description: partial 16S ribosomal RNA
Rfam family: Bacterial small subunit ribosomal RNA
Source: RNAcentral